This 275-nucleotide long non-coding RNA is filed under the name Ananas comosus (pineapple). RNAcentral's name for it is "long non-coding RNA (ACOM_LNC028141)". The record is from RNAcentral. Lineage: Eukaryota; Viridiplantae; Streptophyta; Magnoliopsida; Poales; Bromeliaceae.
UUCUUAGGGGUAUAAGAAAAGAAAAGAAAAGAAUCGAUGUUGUAAUGUUAUGUUUAGAAAUCGAUUGUAUAUUUGGAAGUUGAGAAUCAAUGUAAUGAAAAAUGCGAGUAAAAUGAUGAGAUGAAUGAUUGUAAUAAUAUAGGAUGUGUUAUGUUGUUUGAUACCUUCCUUAUGCAAUCGUUGUUGAUAAUUGUUUCCUGUUUGGAACCUCUUGUAAUUGUAUUGAUUGCGACGUCUUGAACGUACAGGGGAGACUCUGUCCGCGUGCAGGGAAA